Molecule: ribosomal RNA, 163 nt
Filed under: Arctium minus
Lineage: Eukaryota; Viridiplantae; Streptophyta; Magnoliopsida; Asterales; Asteraceae
Description: 5.8S ribosomal RNA
Rfam family: 5.8S ribosomal RNA
About the family: 5.8S ribosomal RNA (5.8S rRNA) is a component of the large subunit of the eukaryotic ribosome. It is transcribed by RNA polymerase I as part of the 45S precursor that also contains 18S and 28S rRNA. Functionally, it is thought that 5.8S rRNA may be involved in ribosome translocation.
Source: RNAcentral
AACGACUCUCGGCAACGGAUAUCUCGGCUCACGCAUCGAUGAAGAACGUAGCAAAAUGCGAUACUUGGUGUGAAUUGCAGAAUCCCGUGAACCAUCGAGUUUUUGAACGCAAGUUGCGCCCGAAGCCAUUCGGCCGAGGGCACGUCUGCCUGGGCGUCACACA